UACGUAGGUGGCAAGCGUUGUCCGGAUUUACUGGGCGUAAAGGGUGCGUAGGCGGAUAUUUAAGUGGGAUGUGAAAUACCCGGGCUCAACUUGGGUGCUGCAUUCCAAACUGGAUAUCUAGAGUGCAGGAGAGGUAAGCGGAAUUCCUGGUGUAGCGGUGAAAUGCGUAGAUAUCAGGAGGAACACCUGUGGUGUAGACAGCUUACUGGACCAUUUCUGACGCUGAGACACGAAAGCGUGGGGAGCAAACAGG
RNAcentral lists this ribosomal RNA (253 nucleotides) under uncultured bacterium. Its description in RNAcentral is "partial 16S ribosomal RNA". It matches the Rfam family "Bacterial small subunit ribosomal RNA", at positions 524 to 776 of the family's 1533-position model. The record is from RNAcentral.